AAGGAUAAUAUCGGAACCGAUCUUCGGAUCGGGUUGACGUUUUGCGUUCAGUUUUGAAGGUUCACUCCGCAAGGAUUGACUUUCAAACUUGUUCUUUGAAAACUGGAUAGAUCGACAUUGAUUAAGAAACAAGCAUCAAGUAGCGUGAUCGCUUUGCGAUCAACUUAUUUUUUUGACCAUUCAGU
This 185-nucleotide unclassified non-coding RNA is filed under the name Planococcus citreus. Its description in RNAcentral is "partial miscellaneous RNA". Lineage: Bacteria; Bacillati; Bacillota; Bacilli; Caryophanales; Caryophanaceae. The record is from RNAcentral.